UACGAAGGGGGCUAGCGUUGCUCGGAAUUACUGGGCGUAAAGCGCACGUAGGCGGUCUUUUAAGUCAGGGGUGAAAUCCUGGAGCUCAACUCCAGAACUGCCUUUGAUACUGGGAGACUUGAGUCCGGGAGAGGUGAGUGGAACUGCGAGUGUAGAGGUGAAAUUCGUAGAUAUUCGCAAGAACACCAGUGGCGAAGGCGGCUCACUGGCCCGGUACUGACGCUGAGGUGCGAAAGCGUGGGGAGCAAACAGG
Molecule: ribosomal RNA, 253 nt
Filed under: uncultured bacterium
Lineage: Bacteria
Description: partial 16S ribosomal RNA
Rfam family: Bacterial small subunit ribosomal RNA
Source: RNAcentral